Molecule: ribosomal RNA, 589 nt
Filed under: Aedes aegypti (yellow fever mosquito)
Lineage: Eukaryota; Metazoa; Arthropoda; Insecta; Diptera; Culicidae
Description: partial AAEL017915-RA
Rfam family: Eukaryotic small subunit ribosomal RNA
Source: RNAcentral
UAAUAUACGCUUGUCUCAAAGGUUAAGCCAUGCAUGUCUAAGUACAAACAGAUUUAAUGUGAAACCGCAUAAGGCUCAGUAUAACAGCUAUAAUUUACAAGAUCAUUUAACUAGUUACUUGGAUAACUGUGGAAAAUCUAGAGCUAAUACAUGCAAAAUGCAGGAACCUCGCGGAACCUGUGCAAUUAUUAGUCAAACCAAUCGUCCUCCGUGACGCUGGAGUUGAAAUCUGGAUAAUUUUGUUGAUCGUAUGGUCUCGCACCGACGACAGAUCUUUCAAAUAUCUGCCCUAUCAACUAUUGAUGGUAGUAUAGAGGACUACCAUGGUUGCAACGGGUAACGGGGAAUCAGAAAUUCGAUUCCGGAGAGGGAGCCUGAGAAAUGGCUACCCACAUCCAAGGAAGGCAGCAGGCGCGUAAAUUACCCAAUCCCGGCACGGGGAGGUAGUGACGAGAAAUAACAAUAUAAGACUCUUUUAUGACGUCUUAUAAUUGGAAUGAGUUGAGCAUAAAUCCUUCAACAAGGAUCAAGUGGAGGGCAAGUCUGGUGCCAGCAGCCGCGGUAAUUCCAGCUCCACUAGCGUAUAUUA